Molecule: ribosomal RNA, 551 nt
Filed under: uncultured Glomeromycotina
Lineage: Eukaryota; Fungi; Glomeromycota
Description: SSU rRNA
Rfam family: Eukaryotic small subunit ribosomal RNA
Source: RNAcentral
UUGGAGGGCAAGUCUGGUGCCAGCAGCCGCGGUAAUUCCAGCUCCAAUAGCGUAUAUUAAAGUUGUUGCAGUUAAAAAGCUCGUAGUUGAAUUUCGGGGUCUGUCCAUUGGUCGGGCUUUACGGUCCGUACUGGUGAGAUGGGUUCCUACCUUCUGAAUAACCAGCAUGCCAUUCAGUUGGUGCGUUGGGGAAGCAGAGCUAUUACCUUGAAAAAAUUAGAGUGCUUAAAGCAGGCUAGUGCUUGAAUAGAUUAGCAUGGAAUAAUAAAAUAGGACGGCAUGGUUCUAUUUUGUUGGUUUCUAGGAUCACCGUAAUGAUUAAUAGGGAUAGUUGGGGGCAUUAGUAUUCAAUUGUCAGAGGUGAAAUUCUUGGAUUUAUUGAAGACUAACUUCUGCGAAAGCAUUUGCCAAGGAUGUUUUCAUUAAUCAAGAACGAAAGUUAGGGGAUCGAAGACGAUCAGAUACCGUCGUAGUCUUAACCAUAAACUAUGCCGACUAGGGAUCGGACGAUGUUAAUUUUUUAAUGACUCGUUCGGCGCCUUACGGGAAAC